This 251-nucleotide ribosomal RNA is filed under the name uncultured bacterium. RNAcentral describes it as "partial 16S ribosomal RNA". It matches the Rfam family "Bacterial small subunit ribosomal RNA", at positions 524 to 774 of the family's 1533-position model. The record is from RNAcentral.
UACAGAGGGGGCAAGCGUUAUUCGGAAUUAUUGGGCGUAAAGGGCGCGUAGGCGGCCAUUCAAGUGACGGGUGAAAGCCCUCGGCUUAACCGAGGAACUGCCUGUCAGACUGGAUGGCUUGAGACCGGGAGAGGUGAGUGGAAUUCCCGGUGUAGCGGUGAAAUGCGCAGAUAUCGGGAGGAACACCAAUGGCGAAGGCAGCUCGCUGGGACGGUACUGACGCUGAGACGCGAAAGCGUGGGGAGCAAACA